UACGUAGGGUGCGAGCGUUGUCCGGAAUUAUUGGGCGUAAAGAGCUCGUAGGCGGUGUGUCACGUCGGCCGUGAAAACCUGCAGCUUAACUGUGGGCGUGCGGUCGAUACGGGCAUCACUGGAGUUCGGCAGGGGAGACUGGAAUUCCUGGUGUAGCGGUGAAAUGCGCAGAUAUCAGGAGGAACACCGGUGGCGAAGGCGGUUCUCUGGGCCUUACCUGACGCUGAGGAGCGAAAGCGUGGGGAGCAAACAGG
RNAcentral lists this ribosomal RNA (254 nucleotides) under uncultured bacterium. Its description in RNAcentral is "partial 16S ribosomal RNA". It matches the Rfam family "Bacterial small subunit ribosomal RNA", at positions 524 to 776 of the family's 1533-position model. The record is from RNAcentral.